Molecule: ribosomal RNA, 200 nt
Filed under: Lactiplantibacillus plantarum
Lineage: Bacteria; Bacillati; Bacillota; Bacilli; Lactobacillales; Lactobacillaceae
Description: Lactobacillus plantarum partial 16S ribosomal RNA
Rfam family: Bacterial small subunit ribosomal RNA
Source: RNAcentral
CAGGGUCUUGAGCUUUCUUUGCAAAUCUAAGAGAUUAGACGUUCCCUUCGGGGACAUGGAUACAGGUGGUGCAUGGUUGUCGUCAGCUCGUGUCGUGAGAUGUUGGGUUAAGUCCCGCAACGAGCGCAACCCUUAUUAUCAGUUGCCAGCAUUAAGUUGGGCACUCUGGUGAGACUGCCGGUGACAAACCGGAGGAAGGU